GACGAACGCUGGCGGCGCGCUUAACACAUGCAAGUCGAACGGAAAGGCCCUGCUUUUGUGGGGUGCUCGAGUGGCGAACGGGUGAGUAACACGUGAGUAACCUGCCCUUGACUUUGGGAUAACUUCAGGAAACUGGGGCUAAUACCGGAUAGGAGCUCCUGCUGCAUGGUGGGGGUUGGAAAGUUUCGGCGGUUGGGGAUGGACUCGCGGCUUAUCAGCUUGUUGGUGGGGUAGUGGCUUACCAAGGCUUUGACGGGUAGCCGGCCUGAGAGGGUGACCGGCCACAUUGGGACUGCGAUACGGCCCAGACUCCUACGGGAGGCAGCAGUGGGGAAUAUUGCACAAUGGGCGGAAGCCUGAUGCAGCAGCGCCGCGUGCGGGAUGACGGCCUUCGGGUUGUAAACCGCUUUCGCCUGUGACGAAGCGUGAGUGACGGUAAUUGGUAAAGAAGCACCGGCUAACUACGUG
RNAcentral lists this ribosomal RNA (468 nucleotides) under uncultured bacterium. RNAcentral describes it as "partial 16S ribosomal RNA". It matches the Rfam family "Bacterial small subunit ribosomal RNA", at positions 28 to 507 of the family's 1533-position model. The record is from RNAcentral.